Molecule: ribosomal RNA, 434 nt
Filed under: uncultured Caryophanaceae bacterium
Lineage: Bacteria; Bacillati; Bacillota; Bacilli; Caryophanales; Caryophanaceae
Description: uncultured Planococcaceae bacterium partial 16S ribosomal RNA
Rfam family: Bacterial small subunit ribosomal RNA
Source: RNAcentral
ACGGAAGGCAGCAGUGGGGAAUAUUGCACAAUGGGCGAAAGCCUGAUGCAGCGACGCCGCGUGAGUGAAGAAGUAUCUCGGUAUGUAAAGCUCUAUCAGCAGGGAAGAAAAUGACGGUACUUGACUAAGAAGCUCCGGCUAAAUACGUGCCAGCAGCCGCGGUAAUACGUAUGGAGCAAGCGUUAUCCGGAUUUACUGGGUGUAAAGGGAGCGUAGACGGCAAAGCAAGUCUGAAGUGAAAUCCCGGGGCUCAACCCCGGAACUGCUUUGGAAACUGUUUAGCUAGAGUGCAGGAGAGGUAAGCGGAAUUCCUAGUGUAGCGGUGAAAUGCGUAGAUAUUAGGAGGAACACCAGUGGCGAAGGCGGCUUACUGGACUGUAACUGACGUUGAGGCUCGAAAGCGUGGGGAGCAAACAGGAUUAGAUACCCUGGUA